UACAGAGGGUGCGAACGUUGUUCGGAAUUACUGGGCGUAAAGCGCGUGUAGGCGGCCAGGCAAGUCGGAUGUGAAAGCCCACGGCUCAACCGUGGAAGUGCAUUCGAAACUGCUUGGCUAGAGUCCUGGAGAGGAAGGCGGAAUGCUUGGUGUAGAGGUGAAAUUCGUAGAUAUCAAGCAGAACACCUGUGGCGAAGGCGGCCUUCUGGACAGUGACUGACGCUGAGACGCGAAAGCGUGGGGAGCAAACAGG
RNAcentral lists this unclassified non-coding RNA (253 nucleotides) under uncultured Myxococcales bacterium. RNAcentral's name for it is "contains 16S-23S intergenic spacer region". It matches the Rfam family "Bacterial small subunit ribosomal RNA", at positions 524 to 776 of the family's 1533-position model. Lineage: Bacteria; Pseudomonadati; Myxococcota; Myxococcia; Myxococcales. The record is from RNAcentral.